UUAUUUUGAAGCAGAAAUUAAGUGAGCAGUUUUCUCUAUAAUGCUUCACACCUACAUAUAUAAUCGAACUCCAUUUUGCAUCACAGUCUUUAAUAAUGACUGCUUUCCUGUUAAUAAAUAAGUAAAAUAGGUUCAAGUCUAUAUAUAUUGAUAUAAGAACUAGUCACUUGAAAAGAUAUUACUAGAAGGAAUAGCAGUUUACUACUGAAAAUUCCUGAUCUAUCAGGGCACGUUUGAGGCCAGGUCUACAAGAUUUAAUCAAUGGUGUCUUUUUUAUGAUAACUUGGAUGAAACCUUUAAUUAGCAUUUAGCUGAACGGUGAACAAGACUUGUGGCUAUAUAGUAAAUUAAGAGAGGAGUUUAACUUAAGUGAAACCUUUAAUUUAGCUGAUUUGUCCCUUUUUGUAUGAUAUUCUUUAUUGAAAUGUCUCAAGAUAUUUGGUGUUAUUCGAUUACUAAUUAUAUUCACAUUUACAAGAACUGAAAUAUCAUUUAACCAAACUGCUGGGGUCUCUUUUGGGACAAUUGUUUAGUAUGGACUUGUGAUGGUUUUCCGUAUUCUUAUAGUUGGUUUGAAACUCUAUAUAAAUGAUAGUAUGUCUUUUAACAAGUUGCAUUUGCUAUUAGACAAAGAUGAGAAAGAGAGAGAUGGGGAGAAUUUUGGCACUCAUUUCUUUGUUUCUUCUCUAUGUUGCCCUGGCAGUUCAAGUGUUUUCUUUUUCCUUUGGGCAUUCACUUUGCUCUUCACAUGAUUCCAUUGCACUUCUACAGUUUAAGCAAUCACUUGCCGUGGCGGACUAUCCACUUUUAAAUUAUUAUGACUUCUUUUGCCCAUAUUCUUAUCCUAAGACGACGUCUUGGAAUAGGAGUAGUAUGGAUUGUUGUAGGUGGGAUGGAGUUACCUGUGAUAGAUUCACUGGUCAUGUGAUUGGUUUGGACUUGAGUUGUAGCAAACUUGAAGGAACUAUCCAUCCCAAUAGUAGCCUUUUCCAGCUUCGUCAUCUUCAAACGCUCGAUCUUUCCCUUAACAACUUUUCGUUAUCUCAUAUUCCACGGGGCAUAGGUCAGUUGGUCAGUUUGAUGCAUCUCAACCUUUCUUAUAGUAUGUUCGAAGGAGGGAUUCCAUUAGAAAUCUCACACCUGUCCAAUUUGGUUUCGCUUGAUCUUUCUUAUCUCUUCCAUCUCCAGUUUAGCCAGGAAGGAUUCAACAUGCUCUCUCGAAACUUAACCAAGUUAGAGGUACUUUCUCUUUCUUUAGUAAACAUCUCAUCCAAGAUUCCCAUGA
Molecule: long non-coding RNA, 1285 nt
Filed under: Nicotiana tabacum (common tobacco)
Lineage: Eukaryota; Viridiplantae; Streptophyta; Magnoliopsida; Solanales; Solanaceae
Description: long non-coding RNA (NTAB_LNC013624)
Source: RNAcentral